Molecule: long non-coding RNA, 911 nt
Filed under: Zonotrichia albicollis (white-throated sparrow)
Lineage: Eukaryota; Metazoa; Chordata; Aves; Passeriformes; Passerellidae
Description: lncRNA (ENSZALG00000010284.1)
Source: RNAcentral
AUUGUGUUACAAAUUUUCCAAAGUUGUUCCACAUCUUUUGGAGGUGACAUAAGCAGAGACUACAACGAUGUGGAAUGGAGAGAUACUCUCUAGAGAAAAAGGUGUGUUAUCAUUUGAAAUGAAGGAGGGAGGCAUCUUGGGUCCAGUUCCUAAUCAGGAAUCACCAUGGAAACAGGAGCUACCCCCUUAUACCUUUCUUGUGAGGAAGUGAGGAAGCAAGAACCCCACAGGUGAAGUCCCUACAUAGGAAGGAGUCGUCACCCAUAAUUCUGUCUAACUCCUCCCAUCACUGUCAUCCAGCUGCUUCACUGUGUCUGCUGUGCAGGAAAAGCAGGAAUCCCAGAAGCAGGUGGUGGGAAGGACAGAGAUGGAAGGAUUGUUUCUGGAGUACCUGCCUGCAAUAACCAGUUAUUUCUGCAGAGCAAGUAUUCAGUUUUUCUUCUGCUUGGACAAGGAGGAAAAGCAAGGUCUGUCAAAAAGAGCCUUUAGAGUGUACAGGACAGACACCAAGUUCAGGAGUUAUUUUUAUUCCUUCAGAUCUCCUAGAAAUGUCUUGCUUUUGGCAGUUCACAUACAAGUGGAGACAACUCUGCGAAGUAUUGCCACUAGUGACUUCGCCCUUCUCAGUGAGCUGGUCCUGUGUGCUGGAAACAUCCCACCUCAAGGUCCAUCUAUGAUUAGAAGGGAAUUGUCCAGACACAUAAAAGGAAUGUUCCUUCGGGCUGCAAAGAAGUUUAGGAUAUUGAAAACCUAUAGAAAUGGAGACAGCAUAAGCUCUUUGGGCAGUCUGUAGAGACACUAAAGUUAAAAUGCUUUAUGGAGAUGAAGAAAAAUCUGUUGCAAAACAAGGAAAGGUUUGGGUGAAAUAUGUCUUGAAUAAAGUUUAUUGGCAAAGAAAAUCUUAUAUUUUC